GGCGGACGUGGCCAAG
This 16-nucleotide transfer RNA is filed under the name Triquetrella arapilensis. Its description in RNAcentral is "partial transfer RNA-His". Lineage: Eukaryota; Viridiplantae; Streptophyta; Bryopsida; Pottiales; Pottiaceae. RNAcentral also lists the same sequence under 7 other names. The record is from RNAcentral.